Long non-coding RNA from Nymphalis io (European peacock), 2467 nucleotides. RefSeq lists it as uncharacterized. The record is from RefSeq and is a predicted model, not a curated record. NCBI's taxonomy places the organism in Eukaryota, Metazoa, Arthropoda, Insecta, Lepidoptera, Nymphalidae. The transcript has 3 exons.
AAUUACAGCAUGAUGACAUGUAAACUAAAUUUUAAAAAAUGCCAAUGAAUUUCAGGUUUUAUUCAGUACGAAAUACUUCCGUCUUAUAAAGGAAAGCAAAAUCUCAUUUUAGUCGAAGGAUACACAUUUUCGAUACAAGGCGGGAAUCCGAACACUUACUAUUGCUCAAGGAAGAGCAAAGUUGGCUGCAAAGCCAGGCUUGGACUCAAGAAUAGGCUUAUCAUCAAACAUUAUCUCGUUCACAAUCAUCCACCUCCAUAUUUAGAAAGGACUUCUGAUGGUACAAUUAUUAGAAUUAAUACCUACAAUAAUGAUGUAUCCUGGACUUAAAAAUAACAAGUGAAUGUGCUGUGUUUAAAAAGAGAGGAAUUCUUCGUCAAAAACGGGAUUUUACUUUUCAAGUAUUGUCGUUUACUUGAUAAAAAUGUUACAAUUACGAAAUACUGCCGAUGAUAGGGAACAAAUCUGUCGUAUUGUUUCAAGAAUAUACGUAUUCGUUUCACAUGAAAGGUGGUCGGACUUUGCAGUGUUCAAGGAAGGUUAGCAUGGAUUGUGGGGCGUAUUUAAAGAUGGAUAAACGUCAAAGAAUCGAGUACGCUUACACGUAUCAUAACCAUGCUCCUUCUAUAUACAGAAAGAUGUCCAAUGGGCUGUAUGUGAAGGUGCAAUAAUUCAAAAUGCGACCGUUCCUAUCUGAUUUCGACUGCAUUGUUGUUAUAGAAAAAUUGAAGAUUAUACUUACGAAUUUUUCGAGACACAGCGCGGAGGCCGCGUGUUGUACUUAGAGGGCAAUACGUUUGUCAAAAUGAAUAAAGGUUCUCAUAACUGGUACUGCUCAAAGAGGAUUUCAAGGAAUUGUCGCGCUAAAGUCAAAAUGGACGACACGGGCUUGAGUGUCAUUUAUGCAUCGCUAGAACACACCCACCCAUCAUUGGCACCCAACAGUCACUCGCAAUAAAUAUAUUUCGUUUCACUUUUUAACUUCAUUUCAGAAUCCAUAUUUAUUUAUUAUAUUUCGAAAAAUUUAGUGGUGGUACAAGUUAAGAUUCACGUAUUCUAACCAUUGGGGCCAUCACAGUUUUUUUAUCCUGCUGGUACACAAUCAUUAACAAUACACAAAGUAAUCAUACUGUAAUAAAUGCAAACACAACAAGGAAAAAUAUAAAAGUAACUUUAACUAGAGAGUUAAUUUUUUUUCCAUGCUCUCUCCGAGUUGCUAGCAGCAGCUUUUCAACAAAGUUGCUAAUAACACAAGUUUAUAUUUAAACGCAAGGUAUCAUACAUGAAGAAUAUGAUGGUUCAUAUACUAACUUUUUUCAAUAUCAGUACCAGUAUCAGUUUGCCAUAUCAGUACCUCUUUAUAUAACUGCUUUCAAAGUAUUAACAUUACUAUUAGUUUUUUUAUGUUUUUUUUACUUACAAUAUAUGUAUGUCACAAUCAGAAAUCUAUUAGUUACAACAGGUUUUUUCCUGUACAUCUAUCUUCUGGGUAAUGGGAAUACCCUUUUCCCAGAGAAUAAGUUUACAAUCACACUGUAUAUAUUGUAUAACAGUAGAAGAAACGAAUGAUUAUGACAUUACAUUAAAUAGUGGUUUCAUACAAAUAAAUCUUAACUGGUGGUAGGGCUUUGUGCAAGCUCGUCUGGGUACCACCCUCUCAUCAGAUAUUCUACCGCAAAACAGCAAUGCUUGAUAUUGUGUUCCGGUUUGAAGGGUGAGUGCGCCAGUGUAAUUACAGGCACAAGGGACAUAAAAUCUUAGUUCCCAAGGUUGGUGGUGCAUUGGCUAUGUAAGCGAUGGUUGACGUUUGGUGACUACUUACCAUCAGGUGGCCCAUAAGCUCGUCCGCCUUCCUAUUCCUAUAAAAAAAAAAAUUAGACGCGAUGGUCGAUGAAAUAAUUGCGAAAACAUAACCAUUCGUUUCUUCUACUGUGAUAUAAUAUAUGAGAUUGUACGUAUAGGCUUAAAUCGCACUGUGAAGUCACAACGUUUCUUUUUAAUGUAAGUGCGAUAAAAUUCACAUGAUUUCAAGUGUUACCGAAAUGCAAAUAUAAAACCAUGCGUUACGUAUUCGGAAUACAUGUAAGCCCGAACAUAAAUAAAACUAACCCAGGUUAGUUUUCAUAUAUUUAAAUAAAAGUACUUUAAAUUAAUCGUUGAUAUAAUAUACUUGGUGGUAGGGCUUUAUACAAGCCCGUCUGGGUAGUUACCACCCACUCGUCAGAUAUUCUACCGGCAAACAGCAAUACUUAGUAUUACUAUAUUCUGUUUUGGAUGAGUGAGCCAGUAUAACUAUAGGCACAAGGGAUAUAACAUGUUAGUUCCCAAGGUUAGUGGCACAUUGGUUGUGUAAGGAAUGGGUACUAAUUCUUAAAGCGCCAAUGUCUAUGGUUGGUGGUGAUCGUGCGGCUAGUCAUAAAUGCGGUUCAUGGUUUUUUUUAAUCAAUUAUAUCUUAAAUAAUCAUAU